UCACAACAAAUGCUGGAGUGAGUUUGUAAAAUCCAGCAGACUCAACCGCUGGUUCUUAAUCUUUCUGUCCUGUGAGCGCCAUCUGUAGUCGGUUCUCCUUUUAACCCUACAAAGCCCGAACCAUGAAAGUUCCCAGAAAAAAGUUCCCAUUUUUUAAACGUAUUUAUUUUACUGAAGCCUUUAUUAAACCGUGUGACAAAAGUAAAAAUGAAUAAAAUGAAUAAAAAUAAAUUACAUAUAAAUGUACACGACUCAUUUUUGCGACAGUCGGUGUUUUUGUGCACUUUAUGGGGGACAAAAAUCACGUUAUACGGUUAACAGGUCUGAGUUCCUGCAACACAGAAAAUAGAUCAACACUAAAUAAUAAUAGCCAACAAUUUACAAAAAGGUAAAAGUAUUUUACAGUGUGGUGUGAUGUUCUGAAUUUCAAAGCUGUUCCAAGAUGGAUUAUCAAUUUUUCCCCUUCAAAAAAACAACAACAAAAACAACAAAAAAGGACUACUUUGUCCGGGUGCCAGGGGACGUCCUGAUUGGCCAGGGAAUCGCAGUUUUCUUAAAAUACCACAGUGUCUGCACAUAUAAGAGGAAAGUUUCAAACAUUUUCUUUGGAUGAUUGCACUUUAAUUCAUCUGCGUCCUGUCUGACGGGUUAUUUUUAGGGCUCUUUUCACCAAAUAUAACCCGCCUCGGUCGUUUGUCAUCGCGUCACAACAGGUAACAUUAUCCCAUUUAGCCUUUUCCUCUUCCUCACUGGCUGGGUCGGAGGAGAGGUGUGGGGUUUGGGGCUAUAAAAGGAGGGACGGUUACAAGUGCCUGACACUCAUCUUCGGUCUGCUGAGGUAAGAGAUGAAGACGCCUUUUCUUUUCACCUCACAGGGGGCUGCUUUAAAUACCCACGAUAGAACUUCUUUAAAACUUGAGAAAAAAGAACAUUUUAUUGCCUUUUUAAAAAAGCACGAGCAAUGUCUGAUCGUUUGCAACCAAUGCUUAUUCGUUAGGUGGAAACAACGGCGACAAAAAUGACUAUUUGGUGCAACUUGUGUAAAUGUCACGUCAGUACUCCUUGCACUUCCCACCAUCUGCCCGCGGAUCACCGGAGCCCAGUCUACAGGAGGUUCAGAUCCACCAAAGGGGCAUCCAAAGCUCGACGGGACCACAUCAAUCAUGAGAUCAAGAACAUGCGUGCUCUGCUGCCCAUCACCCUGGAGGACCAGGAGCGACUCUCGUACCUUCACUCCAUGGCCGUCAUCUGCACCUACAUCAGGAAGUCUGUCCAGGGGCUCCCAGCUGGAGAGCGAUCACACUGCUCUCUGCCACAUGAGGUCUUUCUUCAAGCCUUGCACGGUUUCAUCCUCGUCUCCACCGCACAGGGCAGGCUGGUGUAUGUGUCAGAAAAUGUAGCAGAGUAUCUUGGGGUUUCCAUGCUAGAUGCACUGCAGGGAGAUGCAGUAUAAGACAUGGACUCCAGUGCAUGGAUCUGUCAUGGUGCUGGAUCUAUAGUUGAGCCAUAUGGAGAGUGCCAGCCCAUUAGCUGGAGCAGGAGGAGGUCAGCCAUGACAUUCUGAUGGAUGAGCAUGCAUGCACAGAUCAGGGGCUGUGCUCUACUCUCUGCUCAGAGACCGAGCUCACCUGUCACCAUUCACCCUCAGGCUCCCAAACCUUUUGACCAGCCAUCCUUUGACAUGCUCAGUGGCCACACUCCACCCACCUCAUCAUCGCCAUCCUGUGAUUUCAGAGAUGAUAUAUCUGACGCUCGCUUAGUUCCAGACUGUCACUCUGUGUCCGACAUGUGUGAGAGCCCAGCGGACUGUGCUCUGCAUCCAGAUGAUUUCGGCCUUCUGUUGCAGCCACUUUGAGGCAACUUUGUCCAACUGCAUCAUGAUACUCCUGACUUAUCCACACAUACCAAUCUUCUACAGCCACAGAAGCUGGUUCUUGAUGUUGGCAUGUUAGACAGCUUCAUUAAAGAUCUAAACAUGUUCACAAGGAAAAGCAGCAUAUUGAGCAAUACUAGCUACCAUCUAGCAGCAGUGUAUAACAGGAAUGGGACCCAUCCCCAUCAGAAGCUGCUGGCUGCAGAGCACUUCACCGUGCAGCAUCACCAUAGAUCCCAUCAGUAUGCAGCUGGGACACCAUGAUCAAACCACUGGGUUGCAUCAACUCAAUUCACCAGCUAUAUGCAAAGCAGCAUUCAGCAAGGUACUUUCUACUAAACAGUCCACCUAUUUAUUGAUUUGCUGCUUUGGUAUGUAAGCUUUAGAGAUAUUUAAUUAAUGUCUAAUUUUAUUUGUAUGACAUAUUGUCAUAAACCUCCACUGGAUUUAAAGAAGAGUGUGAGUAAAGACAACUAAAGGACAUCUUCUCAGAUGUUAUUUUUUUUAUAAGAAACUUAUUCCUGAAUGUAGAGCUAAAGCUCAUGUAGAUUUUGUUUUCCUUGGGCUUCACUCAAAGUAUUGACAGGUGUCACAAUCCUGUAGGUAGCAAACUGAAAUGUCAUAUGUGCCACCAGCUACAGGCUGAGACAUCCGUCAUCUUCUAUUCUUCUGAUACAUCAAGAAAACAAAUAUCAGUAAAAGACAUUUCAAGGAAACCUUCGCUAAAACGUCGUGUCUGCAAGCAACUUAUGUGGGUUUUAUACUGUCCCAACACUAUGGAUAAAACCUGCUGUCAGCUGAGUUUUGUUUUGCUAAAGUCUUUUUUUUCAUAAAAAUGUACUUGAAAAACAAAAUAAAAGUAAGUGAGAUUAUUCACCCUGCUUUAGCGCCAUAGUUUUUUAACACAAAUUGGGUUUUUUUUUGCCAUUAAAACUUUCAUACUGUCAUAGUUAAAGAUGUUAGUCAAGAUGAAGCUACCUCAGUGGUACAGCUAAAUCCAUUCAAAGUCUGAAUUUUGUGCCUUAAAUUGUGUUAUUCCCUGCAUAUUCAGAACUCUGAGUCAUUCCUGCGGUUUGCUUCAGAAAUAUUUGAAAUGUAAAUAAAUCUAAA
Long non-coding RNA from Haplochromis burtoni (Burton's mouthbrooder), 2983 nucleotides. RefSeq annotates it as neuronal PAS domain-containing protein 4-like. The record is from RefSeq and is a predicted model, not a curated record. The transcript is spliced from 4 exons. NCBI's taxonomy places the organism in Eukaryota, Metazoa, Chordata, Actinopteri, Cichliformes, Cichlidae.